Molecule: ribosomal RNA, 194 nt
Filed under: uncultured bacterium
Lineage: Bacteria
Description: partial 16S ribosomal RNA
Rfam family: Bacterial small subunit ribosomal RNA
Source: RNAcentral
CCUACGGGAGGCAGCAGUGGGGAAUUUUGGACAAUGGGCGCAAGCCUGAUCCAGCAAUGCCGCGUGCAGGAAGGAGGCCUUCGGGUUGUAAACUGCUUUUGUACGGAACGAAACGGUCUGGGUUAAUACCUCGGGCCAAUGACGGUACCGUAAGAAUAAGCACCGGCUAACUACGUGCCAGCAGCCGCGGUAAU